CUUGUUUUUAAUGUUUGAAUAAACAAACAUGGAAAAAAAAAAAAAAAAUCUGUUCUUAUCAGCUUAAUAUCUGAUACGUCCUCAUUGGGGACUUCGAUAUUAAACUGAUUUUUUGAAACAUGACGGAGUGUUAGGGGCUUGCUCCACCUCUGUCACGGGUCGGCCUGGAAUUGCAGUACCUCCAGGAUUGGCCCACUCUCC
Pomacea canaliculata is the source of this 201-nucleotide small nuclear RNA. RefSeq annotates it as U2 spliceosomal RNA. NCBI's taxonomy places the organism in Eukaryota, Metazoa, Mollusca, Gastropoda, Architaenioglossa, Ampullariidae. The record is from RefSeq and is a predicted model, not a curated record. The transcript has a single exon.